UACAGAGGUCUCAAGCGUUGUUCGGAAUUACUGGGCGUAAAGCGUGCGCAGGCGGUUGGCAAAGUCAGCUGUGAAAGCCCCGGGCUCAACCUGGGAAUGGCGGUUGAAACUAGUCGACUCGAAUCUGGCAGAGGGGGGUGGAAUUCCACGUGUAGCAGUGAAAUGCGUAGAGAUGUGGAGGAACACCGAUGGCGAAGGCAGCCCCCUGGGCUAACACUGACGCUCAUGCACGAAAGCGUGGGGAGCGAUCCGG
RNAcentral lists this ribosomal RNA (253 nucleotides) under uncultured bacterium. RNAcentral's name for it is "partial 16S ribosomal RNA". It matches the Rfam family "Bacterial small subunit ribosomal RNA", at positions 524 to 776 of the family's 1533-position model. The record is from RNAcentral.